RNAcentral lists this ribosomal RNA (338 nucleotides) under Priestia megaterium. RNAcentral describes it as "bacterial SSU rRNA". It matches the Rfam family "Bacterial small subunit ribosomal RNA", at positions 1135 to 1473 of the family's 1533-position model. Lineage: Bacteria; Bacillati; Bacillota; Bacilli; Caryophanales; Bacillaceae. The record is from RNAcentral.
GCACUCUAAGGAGACUGCCGGUGACAAACCGGAGGAAGGUGGGGAUGACGUCAAAUCAUCAUGCCCCUUAUGACCUGGGCUACACACGUGCUACAAUGGAUGGUACAAAGGGCUGCAAGACCGCGAGGUCAAGCCAAUCCCAUAAAAGCAUUCUCAGUUCGGAUUGUAGGCUGCAACUCGCCUACAUGAAGCUGGAAUCGCUAGUAAUCGCGGAUCAGCAUGCCGCGGUGAAUACGUUCCCGGGCCUUGUACACACCGCCCGUCACAACCACGAGAGUUUGUAACACCCGAAGUCGGUGGAGUAACCGUAAGGAGCUAGCCGCCUAAGGGGACAGGGU